This 327-nucleotide ribosomal RNA is filed under the name uncultured Pseudomonadota bacterium. RNAcentral describes it as "bacterial SSU rRNA". It matches the Rfam family "Bacterial small subunit ribosomal RNA", at positions 30 to 351 of the family's 1533-position model. Lineage: Bacteria; Pseudomonadati; Pseudomonadota. The record is from RNAcentral.
AUUGAACGCUGGCGGCAUGCCUAACACAUGCAAGUCGAACGGUAGCAUGAUCUGGCUUGCCAGAUUGAUGACGAGUGGCGUACGGGUGAGUAACGCGUAGGAAUAUGCCUUAAAGAGGGGGACAACUUGGGGAAACUCAAGCUAAUACCGCAUGAACUCUUAGGAGUAAAGCUGGGGACUUUCGAGCCUGGCGCUUUAAGAAUAGCCUGCGUCCGAUUAGCUAGUUGGUAGGGUAAAGGCCUACCAAGGCGACGAUCGGUAGCUGGUCUGAGAGGAUGAUCAGCCACACUGGAACUGAGACACGGUCCAGACUCCUACGGGAGGCAG